AAAUUGAAGAGUUUGAUCAUGGCUCAGAUUGAACGCUGGCGGCAGGCCUAACACAUGCAAGUCGAACGGUAACAGGAAGCAGCUUGCUGCUUUGCUGACGAGUGGCGGACGGGUGAGUAAUGUCUGGGAAACUGCCUGAUGGAGGGGGAUAACUACUGGAAACGGUGGCUAAUACCGCAUAACGUCGCAAGACCAAAGAGGGGGACCUUCGGGCCUCUUGCCAUCAGAUGUGCCCAGAUGGGAUUAGCUAGUUGGUGAGGUAACGGCUCACCAAGGCGACGAUCCCUAGCUGGUCUGAGAGGAUGGCCAGCCACACUGGAACUGAGACACGGUCCAGACUCCUACGGGAGGCAGCAGUGGGGAAUAUUGCACAAUGGGCGCAAGCCUGAUGCAGCCAUGCCGCGUGUAUGAAGAAGGCCUUCGGGUUGUAAAGUACUUUCAGCGGGGAGGAAGGUGUUGUGGUUAAUAACCUCAGCAAUUGACGUUACCCGCAGAAGAAGCACCGGCUAACUCCGUGCCAGCAGCCGCGGUAAUACGGAGGGUGCAAGCGUUAAUCGGAAUUACUGGGCGUAAAGCGCACGCAGGCGGUCUGUCAAGUCGGAUGUGAAAUCCCCGGGCUCAACCUGGGAACUGCAUUCGAAACUGGCAGGCUUGAGUCUUGUAGAGGGGGGUAGAAUUCCAGGUGUAGCGGUGAAAUGCGUAGAGAUCUGGAGGAAUACCGGUGGCGAAGGCGGCCCCCUGGACAAAGACUGACGCUCAGGUGCGAAAGCGUGGGGAGCAAACAGGAUUAGAUACCCUGGUAGUCCACGCCGUAAACGAUGUCUACUUGGAGGUUGUGCCCUUGAGGCGUGGCUUCCGGAGCUAACGCGUUAAGUAGACCGCCUGGGGAGUACGGCCGCAAGGUUAAAACUCAAAUGAAUUGACGGGGGCCCGCACAAGCGGUGGAGCAUGUGGUUUAAUUCGAUGCAACGCGAAGAACCUUACCUGGUCUUGACAUCCACAGAAGAAUCCAGAGAUGGAUUUGUGCCUUCGGGAACUGUGAGACAGGUGCUGCAUGGCUGUCGUCAGCUCGUGUUGUGAAAUGUUGGGUUAAGUCCCGCAACGAGCGCAACCCUUAUCCUUUGUUGCCAGCGAUUAGGUCGGGAACUCAAAGGAGACUGCCAGUGAUAAACUGGAGGAAGGUGGGGAUGACGUCAAGUCAUCAUGGCCCUUACGACCAGGGCUACACACGUGCUACAAUGGCGCAUACAAAGAGAAGCGACCUCGCGAGAGCAAGCGGACCUCAUAAAGUGCGUCGUAGUCCGGAUUGGAGUCUGCAACUCGACUCCAUGAAGUCGGAAUCGCUAGUAAUCGUGGAUCAGAAUGCCACGGUGAAUACGUUCCCGGGCCUUGUACACACCGCCCGUCACACCAUGGGAGUGGGUUGCAAAAGAAGUAGGUAGCUUAACCUUCGGGAGGGCGCUUACCACUUUGUGAUUCAUGACUGGGGUGAAGUCGUAACAAGGUAACCGUAGGGGAACCUGCGGUUGGAUCACCUCCUUACCUUAAAGAA
This 1552-nucleotide ribosomal RNA is filed under the name Salmonella enterica subsp. enterica serovar Uganda. Its description in RNAcentral is "bacterial SSU rRNA". It matches the Rfam family "Bacterial small subunit ribosomal RNA". The record is from RNAcentral. Lineage: Bacteria; Pseudomonadati; Pseudomonadota; Gammaproteobacteria; Enterobacterales; Enterobacteriaceae.